Podarcis lilfordi (Lilford's wall lizard) is the source of this 358-nucleotide non-coding RNA. The record is from the annotation of a GenBank genome assembly. NCBI's taxonomy places the organism in Eukaryota, Metazoa, Chordata, Lepidosauria, Squamata, Lacertidae.
AAGAGAGAAUCGAGGAGGAUUGGAAGAAAUUUAAGAACUACCUACAAAAACAUUGUGAUUUGAUUGAAUGCUGAAUAAGAUGCUGGACUAAAUAACUGAGCACCACUUAACUUAGAAAUUUUUAAGGAAACAAGAAAAAUUGUGAAAGCUUAACUCUUUAUGAGAACUUUAAGAUUAUGAAAUAUCGAAGAGAUUUAAGAAUUUAAAUAAGAUGAUAAAUUGCUGACAAAAUGUUAUAAUGAUGAAGGUGGGAGCGGGAGAUGUGAGGAAGUCCUAAGAAAAUGUGAAAAUAUGUUAAGACGAAUGCUAUAUUGUUUAUUACAUUUAUUCCUAUUGUAAAACCUAAUAAAUUGCUUUU